RNAcentral lists this ribosomal RNA (440 nucleotides) under uncultured bacterium. RNAcentral describes it as "partial 16S ribosomal RNA". It matches the Rfam family "Bacterial small subunit ribosomal RNA", at positions 338 to 795 of the family's 1533-position model. The record is from RNAcentral.
CCUACGGGAGGCUGCAGUGGGGAAUAUUGCACAAUGGAGGGAACUCUGAUGCAGCGACGCCGCGUGAGUGAAGAAGGAAUUCGGUAUGUAAAGCUCUAUUAGCAGGGAAGAAAGUGACGGUACCUGAAAAAGAAGCUCCGGCUAAAUACGUGCCAGCAGCCGCGGUUAUACGUAUGGAGCAAGCGUUAUCCGGAUUUACUGGGUGUUAAGGGAGGGUAGGUGGCAUUGCAAGUCCGAAGUGAAAACCCAGAGCUCAACUAUGGGAAUGCUUUUGAAACUGCGCAGCUAGAGUGCAGGAGAGGUAGGCGGAAUUCCUGGUGUAGCGGUGAAAUGCGUAGAUAUCAGGAGGAACACCGGCGGCGAAGGCGGCUUACUGGACUGUAACUGACGUUGAGGCGCGAAGGCGUGGGGAGCAAACAGGAUUAGAUACCCGUGUAGUC